GGAGGGUGCAAGCGUUACUCGGAAUCACUGGGCGUAAAGGACACGUAGGCGGGUUGGAAAGUCAGAUGUGAAAUCCUACAGCUCAACUGUAGAACUGCAUUUGAAACUUCUAACCUAGAGUAUGGGAGGGGGAGAUGGAAUUAGUGGUGUAGGGGUAAAAUCCGUAGAUAUCACUAGGAAUACCUAAAGCGAAGGCGAUCUCCUGGAACAUUACUGACGCUAAGGUGUGAAAGCGUGGGGAGCAAACGGGAUUAGAUACCCCGGUAGUCCACGCCCUAAACGAUGAACACUAGUCGUCGGGAUGCUUGUCAUCUCGGUGAUGCACUUAACAGAUUAAGUGUUCCGCCUGGGGAGUACGGUCGCAAGAUUAAAACUCAAAGGAAUAGACGGGGACCCGCACAAGUGGUGGAGCAUGUGGUUUAAUUCGAAGAUACGCGAAGAACCUUACCUAGCCUUGACAUUGAUUGAACGGACCAGAGAUGGACCGGUGCCCUUCGGGGAACAUGAAAACAGGUGCUGCACGGCUGUCGUCAGCUCGUGUCGUGAGAUGUUGGGUUAAGUCCCGCAACGAGCGCAACCCUCGUCCUUAGUUGCCAGCAGGUUAAGCUGGGCACUCUAAGGAGACUGCCUUCGCAAGGAGGAGGAAGGUGAGGACGACGUCAAGUCAUCAUGGCCCUUACGGCUAGGGCUACACACGUGCUACAAUGGGGCGUACAGAGUGUUGCGAUACCGCGAGGUGGAGCUAAUCACUUAAAGCGUCUCUCAGUUCGGAUUGGAGUCUGCAACUCGACUCCAUGAAGCUGGAAUCACUAGUAAUCGUAGAUCAGCAAUGCUACGGUGAAUACGUUCCCGGGUCUU
This 858-nucleotide ribosomal RNA is filed under the name uncultured organism. RNAcentral describes it as "bacterial SSU rRNA". It matches the Rfam family "Bacterial small subunit ribosomal RNA", at positions 527 to 1382 of the family's 1533-position model. The record is from RNAcentral.